CCAGAUCUACGGAACAACAGAGGGAAACUUCUGCUAAUACCGUAUACGCCCUACGGGGGAAAGAUUUAUCGGAUUUGGAUGAGCCCGCGUAAGAUUAGCUAGUUGGUGAGGUAAUGGCUCACCAAGGCGACGAUCUUUAGCUGGUCUGAGAGGAUGAUCAGCCACACUGGGACUGAGACACGGCCCAGACUCCUACGGGAGGCAGCAGUGGGGAAUAUUGGACAAUGGGCGCAAGCCUGAUCCAGCCAUGCCGCGUGAGUGAUGAAGGCCUUAGGGUUGUAAAGCUCUUUCAGUGGGGAAGAUAAUGACGGUACCCACAGAAGAAGCCCCGGCUAACUUCGUGCCAGCAGCCGCGGUAAUACGAAGGGGGCUAGCGUUGUUCGGAUUUACUGGGCGUAAAGCGCACGUAGGCGGUUUGUUAAGUCAGAGGUGAAAUCCUGGAGCUCAACUCCAGAACUGCCUUUGAUACUGGCAAGCUCGAGUCCGGAAGAGGUAAGUGGAACUCCUAGU
RNAcentral lists this ribosomal RNA (510 nucleotides) under uncultured bacterium. RNAcentral's name for it is "bacterial SSU rRNA". It matches the Rfam family "Bacterial small subunit ribosomal RNA", at positions 130 to 674 of the family's 1533-position model. The record is from RNAcentral.